AACAGUACUCUUUAGAAAACAAAAUUCACACCAAAUGGUUUCUCUAAUUUUGCUGAAAAUUGGACUCCUAGUCUACCUCCCUCUCCAGAGAGACACAAAAGCCCCCCCUUCUAAUACUCAUCCUUUAUAAGCAGCAGGGGAAAUG
Nanorana parkeri is the source of this 145-nucleotide long non-coding RNA. RefSeq lists it as uncharacterized. The transcript is spliced from 3 exons. The record is from RefSeq and is a predicted model, not a curated record. Lineage: Eukaryota; Metazoa; Chordata; Amphibia; Anura; Dicroglossidae.